RNAcentral lists this transfer RNA (88 nucleotides) under Myriangium duriaei CBS 260.36. It matches the Rfam family "tRNA". From Rfam's summary of the family: Transfer RNA (tRNA) molecules are approximately 80 nucleotides in length. Lineage: Eukaryota; Fungi; Ascomycota; Dothideomycetes; Myriangiales; Myriangiaceae. The record is from Rfam by way of RNAcentral.
GCUUCCUUGGCUCAGUCGGUAGAGCGUCAGUCUCAUAUGUCUUGCUUGGGCGAUCUGAAGGUCGCCAGUUCGAUCCUGGCAGGGAGCA